GCUCCUUUGGCUUAGUGGUUAGAGCGUCCUCUUCUGAUCCGGGAGGUCGUGGGUUCGAUCCCCAGUCGAGUCA
Potamilus streckersoni is the source of this 73-nucleotide non-coding RNA. NCBI's taxonomy places the organism in Eukaryota, Metazoa, Mollusca, Bivalvia, Unionida, Unionidae. The record is from the annotation of a GenBank genome assembly.